Balaenoptera acutorostrata (minke whale) is the source of this 3838-nucleotide long non-coding RNA. RefSeq lists it as uncharacterized. The transcript has 3 exons. The record is from RefSeq and is a predicted model, not a curated record. Lineage: Eukaryota; Metazoa; Chordata; Mammalia; Artiodactyla; Balaenopteridae.
UUUGUCCCAGCCAAGGAGCUCAAUGUAGCCUCUGACACUCUCAGCACUGCCCUGCAAUCUUGAAAAAGGAGUAAAAGGACUGCCUUCUUUCUGUUCCAUCCCUUGCAGUGGCACUUUCAACUUAAGCAACUCUCAGCCCAAAUUGGACUUUUUACAAUCCCAUCAGGCAAAACAAGACAACAAGGCACUUGGCGUAAGUUUUGAAGGAGUCACUUGGCUUUAAGGAAUUCAUCCUACAGAGAUACCUGUGGUUCCUGCUCCUCUGGGCUUCAGCAGAAUGAACAGCGUGCAGAGACUAAGGCCUAGUGUGACCUGUUUCAAAGUUCAGGAUACAAACAUGGUAGAGUCCUCCAGAAGCAGAUGCUGAGAUGGAGCUCAGAGUGCAAGCUGUUACCUGUGAAGGGCGAGGCAGAGGGAGAAAUGAAACCAUGAUGAAGGCCCUGCAAAACCUCGACCAACCAGCUGAGUUACUACUCUGUAUUGACUGUGAGGUCUUUCCCAAGAUUGGUCAAAAUAGCCAGGCUUUGUAUGCAACCUUGCUCAGUCACUAAUGCGGGCUGAGCCAUGAAGGGCAUGACCUCAGGGGCGGCAGGUCUGUGUAGCUGAGGCAGACUCUAAAGAAGCUGACAGGUGGGGACCAUCUGAUGACCACACUCGCUGUAGCUGGGCAUCCAGUCAUUCCCUGAGGAGAAACAUAAGUGGCACUUCUCUGUCCACCUCACCCUCUUUGACUCUGCUUUCUUUCCUAUGUGCUGGCUUCAUUCUGAAGCUUUUCCAAAGUUAUGGUGAACGUGUUCACCCAAAGUUUCAGACUUAUGUUUUACCAGCUGGGAAGCUUUAGAGGAAGAAUCUCUCUUACAAAAGUUCCAGUUAAUGUCCUGAGAUUGCAUAUUAUACAUUUGGCUUGGGGUCAGGAGCUCACUUCCAGCGCCAGGGUCCAAGGUUAGCCUCACCUAUAACGAAUGGACUGAGAGCGAGAGUGAAGAGAUUCCCUAAAGGCACAUUAUGGUACUGUUACCAAACAAAGGGUGUUAGGGAGUGGGAAACAGAUGUCUUCUACCCUGAUGCAGCUCAGGUACUCAUGCACUCUGGGGCCUUUCUAGAGCAGCCUGGAAGUCCCUAAGGAGUUGUGGGACUGCAUUUAAUUUUAGGUAGAGGAUCUCAAAGAGCAUUGUUAACAUUCACAGAAACCCUCAUCAUUUUGGAAGACAUGACCUUGAAUUCUUUCUAAGUAAAAGAAUUCAUGAUAUUAUAACAUAAAAUUAUUACAAAUUCCUCUCUCCCUUUCUACCAAUUGUACCAAUUUUCUGAAGCUCCAUUUGCUUUCUUUUUAUUUGUGAUAGUGUGGAGAAUAACUGUGGGAUUCUGCAAAAUGCUGAAUGGGAAAGUAGCACAAGAACACAAUAACAAAGAGCCUUUCAUGCUGCAAGGAAGAGUACUCCUGUUGGCAUGGAGAACCUCUAACACUGGGACUGCAAAAUGGCAAACCUGUGAAAAGAAAGAGAUUUCUAUAUUCAGAAAUACAGGAUACAUUUAAAGUAGUGUCAGUUUAAUGUGUGUGUGUGUGUGUGUGUGUGUAUAGACACAUGAUUUGUUUGUCUCUGUAAGUAUGUACAAAUCUUUUAUUUAAAACCUCUUUGGUUGGGUUUAUGAAAGGUUUCUCUCUUUGGAGUGCUGAGUUUGUCUUAAAUAUAAUAAACCAAGGCUUAUACUCAGGGAGCACAUGUCAAAACAGCCACACUACUUGUUAAAUAUUGAAAUAUUUUUCUACCGGUUGGGAAAUGGUAUAGUAGUAAAUGUGAAGGUGAUAAGUUCUAAAAUUAACUAACGAAUUUCAGCACAUGUGGUUUUUCUCAGAAACCACACGCCACUGUGAUUCCAAGAUUUUUAAAAAUUGUUCUGGUCUGGGCACUGGAGCACAGAACUGGAAGGCCCAUUGAAGAGAUCCUGUUAUUUAUUUCAGGUGUUGAGGAAUUUCUUUUGGGUUCAAAUGUCCCUGGUUGGGAGAAGGGAAAUCACACAGUCACAUUGAGGAGAAGCUUGGUGACGGUUGAAUAGUUUGGGAGAAGCCUGGGGCACAGACAGCACAAGUGGGGCUUAAAUCACUCAAGUAUGAUUGGGACAGUUUGCUUUACUGGAAAACUCUUCCCUGGUGGUACUGACCAUCCCUGCACCAUGUGCAGAGGUUUAUGAGAAGGGGAUCUCCUGGGAUCCCUUUCAAAGGUCAAAAGAAUGUGAAAUGCAAGCAGUAACCAUGAGACCCUUCCUCUGUCCCCUCCCUACUGCUCAUGGCCAGUUCUCCCCAUGGAGGAACCUCAAGAUACCCUGGCCCUCCCAUCCCUGCCCCUGUCUGCUCCUACAACUCUUCCAAGCACUGGUGCUGGCUGAGUCUGGAAGCAAUUGCCCUUUCUCUUUACCUCUUCUCUCCUGUCUUGCGUUUGUCCUGCUUAUUAACUGGGCUUCAACCAGCUGUCUCCAUCCCAGCACCAGUUGUUUCCUGACUGGACUUUUCAGAGAGGCAACCAUCUCGCCCUGCUUGCAUGGAACAAAGCAGACAAAACAUUCAGAUUCUUAACUCAGGUAACUAGAAUUGGCCAAUAACCACCCCCCUUGUCCCCUCCCCCUACCUCUCUUUUGUUUUAAUAGGAUUUAUUAUUAUUUAGGAUGGUAAGGCCAACAUAUCAGGAGACAAUGGCCAUUGGAAAAAAUUAUUAUUAUACACACAGAUCCCAAGUGAGAGAAUACAGGUCAUGCCACUGAGGGCCACAAGGAAGCACCAGGCAGUCAGGAGGCAGAGCGAAAAAACUGUGGGCAAGAGCCUUUAUCAUGUUUUCCCUAGGCAGGGUAAACAGGUUUGGGAUUGACGAGUCUGAAUCAUUUCAGUGGACUUUGGAGCAUAGCGGCCGUCCCAGCUGUCUCACAUCUGGCCCUGAAGUGAUUAGGGCUGGUGGGCUGUGGCCAGGAGUGUGAGAGCCUAAUAAGGGAGGUGGUGAGAAGUGUAGACUCUGAAUCGGUUGGUUUGUAUUUGAAAAGAGUGGCCCUGGGAGGAUGAUUCCUCCUGAGGGGGAAGAAAGCAAAGGAGGCCAAGGCAAGUGACUCAGCGAAAUUACCAGGUUGUUUGGAAUAAGGUAUCUCUGGUACGUGCACGUAAGGCAGAUUUUAAAUCAUCAAGUUUACAGAAACUAGAAACAUGAUUAAUACACUCUUUCCCUCUCAUCCAUUUUUUUUUUUCUCCUCCUCUGGCUUUCCAACUUCUAUCAAUAAAGUUAUGACAAAGGGCCACUCUCUUCUGCUAUUAUUUGAUGGUGGUUGGAGAGAGAUUCAUUUUAAUGGAGAAGUCUUUGGAAGAACUUUAUAUGUAAAAUCUCAGCUAAGAAAGGAGCAUCAUUUAGCUCUGUCAACCAAAAAUUACACUAAUGAUUUUAAAAUCAUAGAAUGACUUGAUGAAUGAAUUUUACUAAAAUUUGAAUACUUGGUAAGCAAGAUAUACAGGUAUAGAGAAUACAGUUGGCCCUUAAACCACACAGUUUUGAAUUACGUGGGUAAUUCAAAACUAUUGAAAAAAAUGCGGAUCUUUUUCAAUAGUAAAUACUACAGUACUACAUGAUCCAUGGUUGAUUGAAUCUGGGGAUGCAGAACGUUGAAUUAUGAGGAAACGUGGAUACAGAGGAACCAAGGAUACAGAGGGCCGACUAUAAAUUUUACGUGGAUUUUGGAAGGUUGGCCCCCCUAACUCCCGUGGUGUUCAAGGGUCAACUCCAUAUAUUUAGAGACUAGAAGAAUAUAUAUUUUUACAGCCUUGAUUUAUAUAUUAAAACUAUAAACUCUGUAUUGUAUA